UACGUAGGGGCAAGCGUUGUCCGGAAUGACUGGGCGUAAAGGGCGUGUAGGCGGCUUAUUAAGUCUGGAGUGAAAGUCCUGCUUUCAAGGUGGGAAUUGCUUUGGAAACUGAAAAGCUUGAGUGCGGAAGAGGUAAGUGGAAUUCCCAGUGUAGCGGUGAAAUGCGUAGAGAUUGGGAGGAACACCAGUGGCGAAGGCGACUUACUGGGCCGUAACUGACGCUGAGGCGCGAAAGCGUGGGGAGCGAACAGGAUUAGAUACCCGGGUAGUUCCUGAGCGGGCU
Molecule: ribosomal RNA, 283 nt
Filed under: uncultured prokaryote
Description: partial 16S ribosomal RNA
Rfam family: Bacterial small subunit ribosomal RNA
Source: RNAcentral